Molecule: ribosomal RNA, 253 nt
Filed under: uncultured bacterium
Lineage: Bacteria
Description: partial 16S ribosomal RNA
Rfam family: Archaeal small subunit ribosomal RNA
Source: RNAcentral
UACCAGCACCCCGAGUGGUCGGGACGAUUAUUGGGCCUAAAGCAUCCGUAGCCGGUCUUACAAGUCCUCCGUUAAAUCCAACUGCUUAACAGACGGGCCGCGGAGGAUACUAUAAGACUAGGAGGCAGGAGAGGCAAGCGGUACUCAGUGGGUAGGGGUAAAAUCCGUUGAUCCAUUGAAGACCACCAGUGGCGAAGGCGGCUUGCCAGAAUGCGCUCGACGGUGAGGGAUGAAAGCUGGGGGAGCAAACCGG